UUUUGUUCCAAGGAAACCUCAGAGUAUUUUGCUUCUCUUACUUUUUCUCUCUAUUUUGUUUCAAUGAAACUCUAGUAUUUAUAGGCUAAUAUUGGUAGCUUAGUGGGCUUUUGAGAGAGGUCCAAGUUUGAGAUUUUUUUCUUUUAUUUAUUUAUUUAAUUAUUUAUUUAAUUUCUUUUUCUUUUUUUUUUUUUGUUUUUUUUUUGAAAAA
RNAcentral lists this long non-coding RNA (211 nucleotides) under Lathyrus oleraceus (garden pea). RNAcentral describes it as "Pisum sativum (pea) long non-coding RNA (PSAT_LNC020352)". The record is from RNAcentral. Lineage: Eukaryota; Viridiplantae; Streptophyta; Magnoliopsida; Fabales; Fabaceae.